AAGCCCCCGGCUCAACCGGGGAGGGUCAUGGGAAACUGGGAGACUUGAGUGCAGAAGAGGAGAGUGGAAUUCCAUGUGUAGCGGUGAAAUGCGUAGAUAUAUGGAGGAACACCAGUGGCGAAGGCGGCUCUCUGGUCUGUAACUGACGCUGAGGCUCGAAAGCGAGGGGAGCAAACAGGAUAAGAUACCCUGGUAGUCCACGCCGUAAACGAUGAGUGCAAAGUGUAGGAGGUUUACCGCC
This 241-nucleotide ribosomal RNA is filed under the name Enterococcus faecalis. Its description in RNAcentral is "partial 16S ribosomal RNA". It matches the Rfam family "Bacterial small subunit ribosomal RNA", at positions 598 to 838 of the family's 1533-position model. Lineage: Bacteria; Bacillati; Bacillota; Bacilli; Lactobacillales; Enterococcaceae. The record is from RNAcentral.